This 728-nucleotide ribosomal RNA is filed under the name Vibrio sp. KR07-18. RNAcentral describes it as "bacterial SSU rRNA". It matches the Rfam family "Bacterial small subunit ribosomal RNA", at positions 102 to 826 of the family's 1533-position model. Lineage: Bacteria; Pseudomonadati; Pseudomonadota; Gammaproteobacteria; Vibrionales; Vibrionaceae. The record is from RNAcentral.
ACGGGUGAGUAAUGCCUAGGAAAUUGCCUUGAUGUGGGGGAUAACCAUUGGAAACGAUGGCUAAUACCGCAUAAUGCCUACGGGCCAAAGAGGGGGACCUUCGGGCCUCUCGCGUCAAGAUAUGCCUAGGUGGGAUUAGCUAGUUGGUGAGGUAAUGGCUCACCAAGGCGACGAUCCCUAGCUGGUCUGAGAGGAUGAUCAGCCACACUGGAACUGAGACACGGUCCAGACUCCUACGGGAGGCAGCAGUGGGGAAUAUUGCACAAUGGGCGCAAGCCUGAUGCAGCCAUGCCGCGUGUAUGAAGAAGGCCUUCGGGUUGUAAAGUACUUUCAGUUGUGAGGAAGGGGGUGUCGUUAAUANCGGNNNNNCUUGACGUUAGCAACAGAAGAAGCACCGGCUAACUCCGUGCCAGCAGCCGCGGUAAUACGGAGGGUGCGAGCGUUAAUCGGAAUUACUGGGCGUAAAGCGCAUGCAGGUGGUUCAUUAAGUCAGAUGUGAAAGCCCGGGGCUCAACCUCGGAACUGCAUUUGAAACUGGUGAACUAGAGUACUGUAGAGGGGGGUAGAAUUUCAGGUGUAGCGGUGAAAUGCGUAGAGAUCUGAAGGAAUACCAGUGNCGAANGCGGCCCCCUGGACAGAUACUGACACUCAGAUGCGAANGCGUGGGGAGCAAANAGGAUUAGAUACCCUGGUAGNCCNCGCCGUAAACGAUGUCUACUUGGAGGUUG